RNAcentral lists this ribosomal RNA (237 nucleotides) under uncultured bacterium. RNAcentral describes it as "partial 16S ribosomal RNA". It matches the Rfam family "Bacterial small subunit ribosomal RNA", at positions 99 to 334 of the family's 1533-position model. The record is from RNAcentral.
CGAACGGGUGAGUAACGCGUGAGGAACCUGCCUCAAAGAGGGGGACAACAGUUGGAAACGACUGCUAAUACCGCAUAAGCCCACGGCUCGGCAUCGAGCAGAGGGAAAAGGAGUGAUCCGCUUUGAGAUGGCCUCGCGUCCGAUUAGCUAGUUGGUGAGGUAACGGCCCACCAAGGCGACGAUUGGUAGCCGGACUGAGAGGUUGAACGGCCACAUUGGGACUGAGACACGGCCCAG